Molecule: unclassified non-coding RNA, 363 nt
Filed under: soil metagenome
Description: partial contains 5.8S ribosomal RNA, internal transcribed spacer 2, and large subunit ribosomal RNA
Rfam family: 5.8S ribosomal RNA (bases 1-120)
Source: RNAcentral
GAUGAAGAACGUAGCGAAAUGCGAUAAGUAAUGUGAAUUGCAGAAUUCAGUGAAUCAUCGAAUCUUUGAACUCACAUUGCGCCCUCCGGCAUUCCGGGGGGCAUGCCUGUCCGAGCGUCACGAAAACCCCAUCACACUCGUUGUGGUCAUGGCUGCAGUGAGUCGUCUCCAGCGGAGAGGGUCACGCCGCUGAAAGGAAUGGUGCGGAUGAGUUCCGAUGGCCGAACGUAGUACUUGACAACCGUCGGCCGAUGGGACCCUCCAUCUCGCCCUGACGACGUACCCCCGUCGUACCCCCGAUCAGGUGGACCUCGGAUCAGGUAGGGAUACCCGCUGAACUUAAGCAUAUCAAUAAGCGGAGGA